UUUUGGUUUCUAUAUGCUUUGAAAGCCACUAAAAUUGAAAUCUCUCUGUGCGCACGCACACGUAAUGUAAUAUAUUUAUUUUCCUCCAUCCAUUCUGGGAAAAAAUGAUUUUAGGUAUAGGAUUGCAGAUUCGUCAUUGGUGGAUUAGUUUUGUCAACACAGAAUUUUAUUGAAAAGAUGUUACGUUGGGAUUAAUAGUAAGAUCCAAAGAAGAUGGGUGGCAUGUAAGCCAAGGCAAGAUCCAUAUGGGUAUUGUAGAGCUUUUAGGUUUGAGACAUGGGUUGAGCCUAAUAAAAUUUCAAAAUGGCAUCCAGCCCCUAGAUCAAUCAAUAACAAUAUGUAGAGCAUAGGUUAAGAAAAGCCUUAGAUGAGGCACUAGGGAACAUGAGGAGCUGAUCGAAAGCUUAAAAGCAUUGUUACAACUACAACCACCACAAAGUCCUCAUCCCACAGUGGUGUCCUCAAAAGCCUCUGGUUAGUGAAAAUGAAAAAUGAAUAUGAGAGAAUGAGAACAAACAUAGACAACAGAAAGGGGAAACAAUGGAGAAAAGGUGGCAAUUGUGUGGCCACCUGACAGUCAAAAAAUGUAAAAACAGGGAAAAGUCGGAAGCAACUUACGGUGAGGGGUUUCCAGGUCCUUUCGCAGUAUUAUCUUAACAAGGUUAUUUAACUUGAAGAUAACCUCAUGACAUUCUAUUGGAUUUUUCCGCUGCUCAGAAAAUUCUAAAUCAAAGUGUCCCAACUUCACAUCAAGAUUUAAAGAUUUUUUUAUUCAUAACAUGUAAGGGCAAUAAGUACCAGCAAGCAAACAUGUAUUCUACGUGUAGUCAUGUGAGAAAUAAUGUAUUAGUUUGAAAUCUAGGCGCUGUGAUUUAUUUGAGAAUUCAUAAACCAAAUGUGUUUUACCUGCUAUGGCAUUACUUUUUACCAAUGUUGGUGGUAUAAACUACAUUGCUUGCUUAUAGCGGUAGAUUGUACCCUUCUAAUGUAGUUCAUUUUUGUGUGAUUUGGUUGGUUGAUAUUGGGAGUUUCAUCUUUGCUUAUCUUAUUGUGUACCAGCAGUGAUUGUCAACUUUCAUUGUAACAGCUUGUGGCUCUAAAUGAUUUAUUUUUUGGUGGAUGUACGUCAUUUAAAUGCUUAUUAUAUUGUAGGUUCUUGAACCCUAAUUGAGCUUGCAUUUUUUUUUU
Long non-coding RNA from Eucalyptus grandis, 1188 nucleotides. RefSeq lists it as uncharacterized. The transcript has 2 exons. The record is from RefSeq and is a predicted model, not a curated record. Lineage: Eukaryota; Viridiplantae; Streptophyta; Magnoliopsida; Myrtales; Myrtaceae.